CCUACGGGUGACAGCAGUGAGGAAUAUUGGUCAAUGGACGAGAGUCUGAACCAGCCAAGUAGCGUGAAGGAUGACUGCCCUAUGGGUUGUAAACUUCUUUUAUAUGGGAAUAAAAUGUUCAGCGUGUGGGAUUUUGUAUGUACCAUAUGAAUAAGGAUAGGCGAACUCCGUGCCAGCAGCCGCGGUAAUACGGAGGAUCCGAGCAUUAUCCGGAUUUUUUGGGGUUAAAGGGAGCGUAGGUGGAUUUUUAAGUCAGUUGUUAAAGUUUGCGGCUCAAACGUAAGAUUGCAGUUGAAACUGGCAGUCUUGAGUACAGUAGAGGAGAGCGGAAUUCGUGGUGUAGCGGUGAAAUGCUUAGAUAUCACGAAGAACUCCGAUGGCGAAGGCAGCUCACUGGACUGCAACUGACACUGAGGCUCGAAAGUGUGGGUAUCAAACAGGAUUAGAUACCCUAGUAGUC
Molecule: ribosomal RNA, 460 nt
Filed under: uncultured bacterium
Lineage: Bacteria
Description: partial 16S ribosomal RNA
Rfam family: Bacterial small subunit ribosomal RNA
Source: RNAcentral